Molecule: ribosomal RNA, 470 nt
Filed under: uncultured bacterium
Lineage: Bacteria
Description: bacterial SSU rRNA
Rfam family: Bacterial small subunit ribosomal RNA
Source: RNAcentral
GACGAACGCUGGCGGCGUGCCUAAUACAUGCAAGUCGAGCGGAUUGAUGGGAGCUUGCUCCCUGAUAUCAGCGGCGGACGGGUGAGUAACACGUGGGCAACCUGCCUGUAAGACUGGGAUAACUUCGGGAAACCGGAGCUAAUACCGGAUAAUCCUUUUCCUCUCAUGAGGAAAAGCUGAAAGACGGUUUCGGCUGUCACUUACAGAUGGGCCCGCGGCGCAUUAGCUAGUUGGUGAGGUAACGGCUCACCAAGGCGACGAUGCGUAGCCGACCUGAGAGGGUGAUCGGCCACACUGGGACUGAGACACGGCCCAGACUCCUACGGGAGGCAGCAGUAGGGAAUCUUCCGCAAUGGACGAAAGUCUGACGGAGCAACGCCGCGUGAGCGAAGAAGGCCUUCGGGUCGUAAAGCUCUGUUGUUAGGGAAGAACAAGUAUCGGAGUNNCUGCCNGUACCUUGACGGUACCUA